AGCGGCGCACGGGUGAGGAACACGUGGGAACGUGCCCAACGGUUCGGAAUAACUCAGGGAAACUUGAGCUAAUACCGGAUACGCCCCUUCGGGGGGAAAGAUUUAUCGCCGAUGGAGCGGCCCGCGUCCGAUUAGCUUGUUGGUGAGGUAAAAGCUCACCAAGGCGACGAUCGGUAGCUGGUUUGAGAGAACGAUCAGCCACACUGGGACUGAGACACGGCCCAGACUCCUACGGGAGGCAGCAGUGGGGAAUCUUGGACAAUGGGGGAAACCCUGAUCCAGCCAUGCCGCGUGAGUGAUGAAGGCCCUAGGGUUGUAAAACUCUUUCGGCGGGGACGAUAAUGACGGUACCCGCAGAAGAAGCUCCGGCUAACUUCGUGCCAGCAGCCGCGGUAAUACGAAGGGGGCUAGCGU
This 414-nucleotide ribosomal RNA is filed under the name uncultured Alphaproteobacteria bacterium. RNAcentral's name for it is "bacterial SSU rRNA". It matches the Rfam family "Bacterial small subunit ribosomal RNA", at positions 94 to 541 of the family's 1533-position model. The record is from RNAcentral. Lineage: Bacteria; Pseudomonadati; Pseudomonadota; Alphaproteobacteria.